CGGCGGACGGGUGAGUAACGCGUGGGUAACCUACCCUGUACACACGGAUAACAAUACCGAAAGGUAUGCUAAUACGGGAUAAUAUAUUUGAGAGGCAUCUCUUGAAUAUCAAAGGUGAGCCAGUACAGGAUGGACCCGCGUCUGAUUAGCUAGUUGGUAAGGUAACGGCUUACCAAGGCGACGAUCAGUAGCCGACCUGAGAGGGUGAUCGGCCACAUUGGAACUGAGACACGGUCCAA
RNAcentral lists this ribosomal RNA (239 nucleotides) under uncultured bacterium. RNAcentral's name for it is "partial 16S ribosomal RNA". It matches the Rfam family "Bacterial small subunit ribosomal RNA", at positions 96 to 334 of the family's 1533-position model. The record is from RNAcentral.